This 563-nucleotide long non-coding RNA is filed under the name Ricinus communis (castor bean). Its description in RNAcentral is "long non-coding RNA (RCOM_LNC000352)". The record is from RNAcentral. Lineage: Eukaryota; Viridiplantae; Streptophyta; Magnoliopsida; Malpighiales; Euphorbiaceae.
UUAUCAGAUCAACCAUUAUUAUCAUCAAGAACGAGAUGAAAAUUCAACUGUCCUAACUAUCAAAAUAUAAAAUACUAUGGCACAACAGUGAUGAUGUAUCAAGAAAUGAAGAAGGUAAGAAAGUUCCAUGAAAAAGUGUCUUUUCCUAGCAUACAAAAACGUUUCCAGAUGGAACUAUGUUCUGCAAACUCGCCAAUGUGCUAGGUAGCUUACACUAUCAGGGUAAGCAAGGAUAUCAGGACAAUUCCACUGGAUAACCUGCUUGUACUAAGUUAAUUCCAUAUUGUCAUGAAGGUUUUUAAGGCUGUGUUAACUACGAAACAUCUUACUGCUGCCAAGUCGUGUUCAAGUUUCCUAUAGAAGCAGUCCAGUCAAAAGAUUUUAAAAUCGGAGAUCUGGGUGUUUUGAGCAACUCAGGAAGCCAACCUUGGCACUGUUCAUUUGUUCAAAUUAGGAGCCACAUAUGGCUAUGGCAAGGGCAACAAAGUCUUACCAGAUAAGCUUGGAGGAACAAGCGAUAAGCAAAGAUGGAAAGUGAUUCAGUGAAAUGUAAUAGAAGUAAU